RNAcentral lists this transfer RNA (74 nucleotides) under Triticum aestivum (bread wheat). RNAcentral's name for it is "tRNA-Ile (AAT) (tRNA-Ile-AAT-6-1)". It matches the Rfam family "tRNA". From Rfam's summary of the family: Transfer RNA (tRNA) molecules are approximately 80 nucleotides in length. Their secondary structure includes four short double-helical elements and three loops (D, anti-codon, and T loops). Further hydrogen bonds mediate the characteristic L-shaped molecular structure. tRNAs have two regions of fundamental functional importance: the anti-codon, which is responsible for specific mRNA codon recognition, and the 3' end, to which the tRNAs corresponding amino acid is attached (by aminoacyl-tRNA synthetases). tRNAs cope with the degeneracy of the genetic code in two manners: having more than one tRNA (with a specific anti-codon) for a particular amino acid; and 'wobble' base-pairing, i.e. permitting non-standard base-pairing at the 3rd anti-codon position. The record is from Rfam by way of RNAcentral. Lineage: Eukaryota; Viridiplantae; Streptophyta; Magnoliopsida; Poales; Poaceae. RNAcentral also lists the same sequence under 1 other name.
GGCCCAUUAGCUCAGUUGGUUAGAGCGUGGUGCUAAUAACGCCAAGGUGGCAGGUUCGAGACCUGCAUGGGCCA